This 244-nucleotide long non-coding RNA is filed under the name Lathyrus oleraceus (garden pea). RNAcentral describes it as "Pisum sativum (pea) long non-coding RNA (PSAT_LNC015082)". Lineage: Eukaryota; Viridiplantae; Streptophyta; Magnoliopsida; Fabales; Fabaceae. The record is from RNAcentral.
GGAAAAACUCUGCAAAGGGAGAAAAGCAGGAUUUACAACUACCGGUUACUGGGCAUAAGACCGCAAAGAGAAGGAAACCUGUCAUCGGUUUGGAUAAACAUAUCAAGGAUUAACCCUCUAGGGAAUAGAAUAAGGAUUACAACUACCUUUUUACUGGAUAGAAUACCAAAGAUGAGAAUAUCCGUCAUCGGUUAGGAUGAACAUAUCAAGGAUAAACUCAAAGCAAGGGAAGAAAAUAUCCGUC